Molecule: ribosomal RNA, 468 nt
Filed under: uncultured bacterium
Lineage: Bacteria
Description: partial 16S ribosomal RNA
Rfam family: Bacterial small subunit ribosomal RNA
Source: RNAcentral
GACGAACGCUGGCGGCGUGCUUAACACAUGCAAGUCGAACGGAAAGGCCCUGCUUUUGUGGGGUGCUCGAGUGGCGAACGGGUGAGUAACACGUGAGUAACCUGCCCUUGACUUUGGGAUAACUUCAGGAAACUGGGGCUAAUACCGGAUAGGAGCUCCUGCUGCAUGGUGGGGGUUGGAAAGUUUCGGCGGUUGGGGAUGGACUCGCGGCUUAUCAGCUUGUUGGUGGGGUAGUGGCUUACCAAGGCUUUGACGGGUAGCCGGCCUGAGAGGGUGACCGGACACAUUGGGCCGGGAAUGAGCCCCAGCCUCGACCGGGGGGGGGGGGUGGGGAAGAUGACACAAGGGCGGGAGGCCUGACCCGACAGCGCCGGGUGGGGGAUGACGGCCUGGGGUUAGAAACCCACUUCCCCCUGAGAGGGGGCGAGGGUGAGGGUAAUGGAAAAAGAAGCCCCGGCUAACUACGUG